AGUGAACGCUGGCGGUAGGCCUAACACAUGCAAGUCGAACGGCAGCACAGUAAGAGCUUGCUCUUACGGGUGGCGAGUGGCGGACGGGUGAGGAUUACAUCGGAAUCUACUUUUUCGUGGGGGAUAACGUAGGGAAACUUACGCUAAUACCGCAUACGACCUACGGGUGAAAGCAGGGGAUCUUCGGACCUUGCGCGAUUGAAUGAGCCGAUGUCGGAUUAGCUAGUUGGCGGGGUAAAGGCCCACCAAGGCGACGAUCCGUAGCUGGUCUGAGAGGAUGAUCAGCCACACUGGAACUUAGACACGGUCCAGACCCCUACGGGAGGCAGCAGUGGGGAAUUUUUGACAAAGGGCGCAAGCCUGAACCAGCCAUACCGCGUGGGUGAAGAAGGCCUUUCGGUUUGAAAGCCCUUUUUUUGGGAAAGAAAAGCAGCAGGUUAAUACCCCGCUGUUCUGACGGUACCCAAAGAAUAAGCACCGGCUAACUUCGUG
This 492-nucleotide ribosomal RNA is filed under the name uncultured bacterium. Its description in RNAcentral is "partial 16S ribosomal RNA". It matches the Rfam family "Bacterial small subunit ribosomal RNA", at positions 29 to 507 of the family's 1533-position model. The record is from RNAcentral.